Molecule: ribosomal RNA, 425 nt
Filed under: uncultured bacterium
Lineage: Bacteria
Description: bacterial SSU rRNA
Rfam family: Bacterial small subunit ribosomal RNA
Source: RNAcentral
GGGGAAUCUUCCGCAAUGGGCGAAAGCCUGACGGAGCAACGCCGCGUGAGUGAUGACGGCCUUCGGGUUGUAAAGCUCUGUGAUCGGGGACGAACGGUCAGCAGACGAAUAAUCUGCUGAAUUGACGGUACCCGAAUAGCAAGCCACGGCUAACUACGUGCCAGCAGCCGCGGUAAUACGAAGGUGGCAAGCGUUGUCCGGAAUUAUUGGGCGUAAAGCGCGCGCAGGCGGCUUCUUAAGUCCAUCUUAAAAGUGCGGGGCUUAACCCCGUGAUGGGAUGGAAACUGAGAGGCUGGAGUAUCGGAGAGGAAAGUGGAAUUCCUAGUGUAGCGGUGAAAUGCGUAGAGAUUAGGAAGAACACCGGUGGCGAAGGCGACUUUCUGGACUGUAACUGACGCUGAGGCAUGAAAGCGUGGGGAGCAAAC